Molecule: ribosomal RNA, 323 nt
Filed under: uncultured archaeon
Lineage: Archaea
Description: partial 16S ribosomal RNA
Rfam family: Archaeal small subunit ribosomal RNA
Source: RNAcentral
GCGCAGCAGUCGCGAAAACUCCGCAAUACGCGAAAGCGUGACGGGGCUACCCCGAGUGUCGUCCGCUGAGGACGACUUUUCCACUCUGUAAGGAGCUGUGGGAAUAAGGAGAGGGCAAGUCUGGUGUCAGCCGCCGCGGUAAUACCAGCUCUCCGAGUGGUAGGGAUGAUUAUUGGGCUUAAAGCGUCCGUAGCCGGCUCAACAAGUCUCCCGUUAAAUCCAACGAUUCAAUCGUUGGAUUGCGGGGGAUACUGAUGAGCUAGGAGGCGGGAGAGGCCAACGGUAUUCCCGGAGUAGGGGUGAAAUCUUAUAAUUCCGGGAGG